RNAcentral lists this ribosomal RNA (623 nucleotides) under uncultured bacterium. RNAcentral's name for it is "bacterial SSU rRNA". It matches the Rfam family "Bacterial small subunit ribosomal RNA", at positions 139 to 748 of the family's 1533-position model. The record is from RNAcentral.
GGGGAUAACACUUGGAAACAGGUGCUAAUACCGCAUAAUAGUCGACACCGCAUGGUGUUGAUUUGAAAGACGCUUUCGGGUGUUACUGAUGGAUGGACCCGCGGUGCAUUAGCUAGUUGGUGAGGUAACGGCUCACCAAGGCGAUGAUGCAUAGCCGACCUGAGAGGGUGAUCGGCCACACUGGGACUGAGACACGGCCCAGACUCCUACGGGAGGCAGCAGUAGGGAAUCUUCGGCAAUGGACGAAAGUCUGACCGAGCAACGCCGCGUGAGUGAAGAAGGUUUUCGGAUCGUAAAACUCUGUUGUUAGAGAAGAACAAGUAGGAGAGUAACUGCUCUUACCUUGACGGUAUCUAACCAGAAAACCACGGCUAACUACGUGCCAGCAGCCGCGGUAAUACGUAGGUGGCAAGCGUUGUCCGGAUUUAUUGGGCGUAAAGCGAGCGCAGGCGGUUUCUUAAGUCUGAUGUGAAAGCCCCCGGCUCAACCGGGGAGGGUCAUUGGAAACUGGGAGACUUGAGUGCAGAAGANGAGAGUGGAAUUCCAUGUGUAGCGGUGAAAUGCGUANAUAUAUGGARGAACACCAGUGGCGAAGGCGACUCUCUGGUCUGUAACUGACGCUG